AGUGAUAUGCUUGUCUCAAGGGCUAAGCCAUGCACGUCUAAGUAGAAGCCCGCCUCCGGCGGGCGAGACCGCGAAUGGCUCCAUACAACAGUCCCAGUUUACUGGAUGGUCGUGGCCUAGUUGGAUAACUGUGGUAAUUCUAGAGCUAAUACAUGCCCCCGAGCUCCGACUGUGCGGCGGCCGUGGCGGGGAGGCGGACGGCUCCGGCCCCCGCUCUUCUUCCGUCCGGUCGCUGCGGGAGGAGCGCUUUUAUUAGCUCAAAGCCGACCGGGCUCAUGCCCCGUCGCGUCGCCCACAAAGCGCGCGGCCGGGGCGGCCCGUUUCCACUCGGCGAAUCGAAAGAACCCGCAGAUCGCGCGGCGUCUUGCGCGCCCGCGACGCGUCCUUCAAGCGUCUGCCUCAUCAGCUUUCGACGGUAGGUUAGACGCCUACCAUGGCGGCAACGGGUAACGGGGAAUCGGGGUUCGGUUCCGGAGAGGGAGCCUGAGAAACGGCUACCACAUCCAAGGAAGGCAGCAGGCGCGCAAUUUACCCCCUCCCGGCACGGGGAGGUAGUGACGAGGCGUACCGCCGCGAGCCCCCGCGCGGGGCUGCGUAGGCGGAAUGAGCACAUUUUAAGUCCUUUAGCGAGGACCCAUCGGAGGGCAAGUCUGGUGCCAGCAGCCGCGGGAACUCCAGCUCCGAUAGCGUAUGUUAACGCUGCUGCGGUUAAAGAGCUCGUCGCCGGACGUCGGCCUCGGAGGGGCGGUUCGCCGGAGGGCGACACUUCCCCGUUCCGGGCGCAGUGGCGCGUUCCCGGGCGGCUCGGGUAAACCCCUCCGGGUCCCUCCCGUCGGUCGCGGGUCUGGGGGGCGGCGCCUUCGGGUGCGGGUUUCUGGGCGGGCGUCGGGGUCUUGCGGGUGCUUUGCCGCGAGCGGGCAGGGUUUCCGGGUGCCGUGUGGCGGUGGCGUGGUCGCGGCCGGUCGGCGCGUCCGUUCGUUUUGCCGGGCCUGGGCCGGUGGGAGUUCGCUGUCCGGGUCCCGUGGAGGGCCUCCGCGCCGCCGUGCGGCUGGCGAGGCGGCGGCGGCGGGGAUGGGGAUUCGCGGGGAGGCUGGGCUGGUCUCUUUCGGUGUGGGGGGAGUCGGGCUUCGCGGCCCUUCUCUCUCCCCCGGGGGGGGCCUUUCCUCCUCUCAACGGUCCUCUACCAAACCCCGUCGUUUCGUCCGUCCGUUCGGUCCGUGCGCGCGGUCCGCGGGGACAACCCUCCCGGGGCUUCCCCCGGGCACGCUUCUUACUCUCGCUCGGCUCCGGGUCUCCGGCGGCUUGCGGCCGUCGCAUCCGGUCCUUCUCACUUCCCAUCCCGCACGCGCCCCGGUCUUCUCUCGCCCGUCUUUUGCGGCUUGCCCCGCUCGUUCCCCGUGCCCGUCCGCUCCCCCGUAGGCCCGCCCAUUCCGCCGCGGUCUCCCGGCGGGCAGGACGGCUCGGUGCGGGCCCCGGCCUCUAACCCGGGAAAUCGGCGCCGGUUUCCUCGAGAAAAUCGGAGUGCUCAGAGCAGGCUGCUAGAGGCUCGCACGGGAGUGCAUGGAACUAGACCCCAACGGCCCCGGCCCGUCUUUGCUGUCGGCUUCGGGGGCCGGGGUCAGGGUCGAUGGGGACGGCCGGGGGCAUUGGUACCGCGACGUUAGAGGUGAAAUUCAGGGAUCGUCGCGUGACCGACGACUGCGAAAGCAUUUGCCCAGUACGUUCCCGUCGGCCGAGAACGAAAGUCGGAGGCUCGAAGGCGAUCAGAUACCGCCCUAGUUCUAACCUUAAACGAUGCCGACCGGCGAUCCGCCGCAGGAGGCGCGCGUCGGCGCCUCGGCGGGCAGCCCGCCCGGGAAACCCGAGUGUUCGGGCUCCGGGGGGAGUAUGGUCGCAAGGCCGAAACUUAAAGGAAUUGACGGAAGGGCACCACCAGGAGUGGAGCCUGCGGCCUAAUUUGACUCAACACGGGGAACCUCACCAGGUCCGGACCCCGGCAAGAUUGACAGGUUCACACGACACAGCCCUUUCUCGAUCCGGUGGGGGGUGGUGCAUGGCCGUUCGUGGUUCGUGGAGCGAUCCGUCUGGUUCAUUCCGGUAACGGGCGAGGCCCCGGCCAGUUAACUAGAGCGGGGCUCCCCGCAUAGGGCGCCCGGCUCAGGGAGCGGCAACGUUCCCGGCUCUUCUCAACGGGACGGGCGGCGGGAAGCCGCACGAAGUCGGGGCAAGAACAGGUCCGUGAUGCCCUUAGAAGUCCUGGGCCGCACGCGCGCUACACUGACGGAGGCAGCGCGCUUUCCCUACCCUCCCAGUCCGAGAGGACUCGGGAACCGCUCAACCUCCGUUCGUGCUGGGGACUGGGGACUGCAAGGUCCCCACGAACGAGGAAUUCCUCGUAGGCGCGAGUCAUCAGCUCGCGUCGAUUACGUCCCUGUCCUUUGUACACACCGCCCGUCGCUACAUCCGAUCGAGCGAUCGAGCGAGGUUUUCGGACCGGGCCCGGCGCGGCUGCCUCGGCUGGCCGCGUCGGCGUUCCCAGGGAAGUUGCCCGAGCUGGAUGGCUCAGAGGAGGUAUAAGU
RNAcentral lists this ribosomal RNA (2579 nucleotides) under Hainanjapyx jianfengensis. Its description in RNAcentral is "bacterial SSU rRNA". The stretch from base 334 to 2579 matches the Rfam family "Eukaryotic small subunit ribosomal RNA". The record is from RNAcentral. Lineage: Eukaryota; Metazoa; Arthropoda; Diplura; Dicellurata; Japygidae.